RNAcentral lists this long non-coding RNA (220 nucleotides) under Panax ginseng (ginseng). Its description in RNAcentral is "long non-coding RNA (PGIN_LNC009388)". Lineage: Eukaryota; Viridiplantae; Streptophyta; Magnoliopsida; Apiales; Araliaceae. The record is from RNAcentral.
UCGCCACAAGUUACAUCUAUUUAUUUUUAAACUUUUUUUAGGGCGAAUCUUCUUCUUCUUCUCAUUGGCAUUUUGGACAACAGAGAUUUACGACGGAGUAGUGGCGGAGUAGCGGAGGAGAGGGCAACAUGUGAAGAAAGAGAUUCACUUUUUAUGAGCCAAACAUGUAAAAAUAUUUUAAAUGAGAAAAUUAUUUUAGAGACAAAAUUUGAAAUUCAAA